CAUACAUAAGUGAUUCAAUUCAGGGGCAAGCUCGCGGUAUCAAUUGGAAUCCUACUAGGAGUUUAUUGGCUGUAUACUCUCAUGGCACGGCCAUAAAGAUUUGGACCCUUGAGCAAGACCAAAGAAUACAUGAUCUGAUGCAUAAUGAGUGUGUAAAUAUUGUUAGAUGGAGCCCUACUGGCCCAGGUACCAACAACCCUAAUAAGCCAUACUGUUAUCUUGUUAGAAUGGAUAACACAAGGAUGUCAGAAGAUAGUCAAAUGUCAUCAAUGAGAACCCCAACCAAAAGAUCAAGUGGCAAUAAAAGAUGGACCACUGUCGAAAGUCAAUUUUUCAUAAGAUUUAUGGCUUCUCAAGUGGAGCAAGGCUUGAAAGUCGAUAAGGGUUUCAAACCUCAAGCACUCCAUGCAUCAAUCAUUGCAAUGAAGAAUGAGUUCAGAAUUAUAGUCACUGAAGCAAAUGUGAAUAACCACUUGAGAACAAUUCACAAAAGAUGGGCAAGAAUUAAAAAAUUGAAAGAGUUUAAGCGGAAUGGGUUGGGAUAACAGAUUGAAGAUGAUAAUCAUGGGAGAAUCAGAGUUCAAGAACUACAUUAAGAUUCAUCCACAUGAUGAGCCC
Molecule: long non-coding RNA, 618 nt
Organism: Dioscorea cayenensis subsp. rotundata (Guinea yam)
Lineage: Eukaryota; Viridiplantae; Streptophyta; Magnoliopsida; Dioscoreales; Dioscoreaceae
Exons: 5
Source: RefSeq, a predicted model, not a curated record